GUAAAAAAUUCGCACCAAAAUUUCCCACUUAAACUAUUCCCUCUGAAAUUUCCCACUUUCCCUCUAAAACAUUUCAUUAAAAGUCUAAGUGAUUCCAGUUAACCCUAUUUCUCUAGGGUUUGAAACCCACAGCCUACUUCACUUGAUUUUCAAAAAAUAGGACAGUCCAUUGCACCCAAUCUUCGUCAAAAAAGGGAAAGAAGAAAAUGAUUGCACCCAAUCGGUUACGCUCUUCAGAAGCAGGAGAUCUGAUUUACUUUAUUUGAUUUCUCCAAAGAUCUAAGUUACACGGUCAAUUUGUCAAUACAACAAGAAAGAGACAUGCUCUAUGAUACUGGGAUAUAACUAUGUUUGUCAAAGGUAAUGUUUUGCUGCACAUGGAUAUUCUCCCGGUUUUUCUGGUGCUGCUACUUUUUUGUAUAUGUAUUGAGCUUAGGGGAGCCAGUACUAGACAUUGUUAUCUUGUGUCUAGCUCCACUCCUUUGAAACUUCUACAAGAAUUGAUGAUCCAAGAAUUUCUGUCUUCUAUCAAAUUCUGCUGUGGUUUACCGACAAGAAAAUGUGAUUCAACUUUCAAGUCCCCUUUCCGAAAGUUUGUUGUGCCAACGAAGAAGUGACCUUAACAACAAAGUGGAUUACUUUUCGCAAGUAUUAAUCAAAUUGAAGGAACAAUAGAAUUAGUCAAGUAAUGCACAGGCUGCGAGAGACAAAAAUUUUCCAGAUUCCUCUAGAUCAAACUCCUAGUCCAAUUCUUGAAAAGGAAAAUUCUUGUGAUGCAAUUAAAAGUGGUGGCUAAAGUCAGUUUGAUCCAUUUGAAGUUAAGGAAGAAGAUUUUUGGACAAUACAUUUGGUUUUGUAAAGUUCAUAUUUAGCACGCAACUUGAAGCAAUUUGCUUUAUUGGUUGAUUGUAUUACAUGAAGUGUAUUCCUUUUUUUUUUGAAGUUCAUUGCCUGUAUGUGUUUGAAACAAUCUCUUUUGUUUAUUGAUAAUGAAGUGCUUGAGUUUUAUACUUAA
Molecule: long non-coding RNA, 1015 nt
Organism: Nicotiana attenuata
Lineage: Eukaryota; Viridiplantae; Streptophyta; Magnoliopsida; Solanales; Solanaceae
Exons: 6
Source: RefSeq, a predicted model, not a curated record